RNAcentral lists this transfer-messenger RNA (80 nucleotides) under Acidobacteriota bacterium. RNAcentral describes it as "Acidobacteria bacterium partial transfer-messenger RNA". It matches the Rfam family "transfer-messenger RNA", at positions 292 to 374 of the family's 374-position model. From Rfam's summary of the family: Bacterial tmRNA, also known as 10Sa RNA or SsrA, is named for its dual tRNA and mRNA-like properties. Its role is to liberate the mRNA from a stalled ribosome. To accomplish this part of the tmRNA is used as a reading frame that ends in a translation stop signal. Lineage: Bacteria; Pseudomonadati; Acidobacteriota. The record is from RNAcentral.
AAACUCACCGCCGGAUAAACAUGUAGAUGUUUGCGUGGAUAGCGACGAGGACAGGGGUUCGACUCCCCUCGCCUCCACAU